This 2878-nucleotide ribosomal RNA is filed under the name Cupriavidus metallidurans. Its description in RNAcentral is "23S ribosomal RNA". It matches the Rfam family "Bacterial large subunit ribosomal RNA". The record is from RNAcentral. Lineage: Bacteria; Pseudomonadati; Pseudomonadota; Betaproteobacteria; Burkholderiales; Burkholderiaceae.
GGUCAAGCGAACAAGUGCAUGUGGUGGAUGCCUUGGCGAUUACAGGCGAUGAAGGACGCGGUAGCCUGCGAAAAGCUUCGGGGAGCUGGCAAACGAGCUUUGAUCCGGAGAUGUCCGAAUGGGGAAACCCGGCCCGAAUGGGUCAUCCCUGACUGAAUACAUAGGUCAGGGAAGCGAACGCGGCGAACUGAAACAUCUAAGUAGCUGCAGGAACAGAAAUCAACCGAGAUUCCCAAAGUAGUGGCGAACGAAAUGGGAAGAGCCUUGUACUCUUUAGCAGCAUUGUUAGCAGAACGGGAUGGAAAGCCCGGCCAUAGCAGGUGAUAGCCCUGUAUGCGAAAACAGCGUUGUGGAACUAGGUGUACGACAAGUAGGGCGGGACACGUGAAAUCCUGUCUGAAGAUGGGGGGACCAUCCUCCAAGGCUAAAUACUCGUAAUCGACCGAUAGUGAACCAGUACCGUGAGGGAAAGGCGAAAAGAACCCCGGGAGGGGAGUGAAAUAGAUCCUGAAACCGCAUGCAUACAAACAGUCGGAGCCUGGAAACGGGUGACGGCGUACCUUUUGUAUAAUGGGUCAGCGACUUACAUUCAGUGGCAAGCUUAACCGAUUAGGGAAGGCGUAGCGAAAGCGAGUCCGAAUAGGGCGUUGAGUCGCUGGGUGUAGACCCGAAACCAGAUGAUCUAUCCAUGGCCAGGUUGAAGGUGCGGUAACACGUACUGGAGGACCGAACCCACUAACGUUGAAAAGUUAGGGGAUGAGCUGUGGAUAGGGGUGAAAGGCUAAACAAAUCUGGAAAUAGCUGGUUCUCUCCGAAAACUAUUUAGGUAGUGCCUCGUGUCUCACCUUCGGGGGUAGAGCACUGUCAUGGUUGGGGGGUCUAUUGCUGAUUACCCCGCCAUAGCAAACUCCGAAUACCGAAGAGUGCAAUCACGGGAGACAGACAUCGGGUGCUAACGUCCGGUGUCAAGAGGGAAACAACCCAGACCGCCAGCUAAGGUCCCAAAGAUUGGCUAAGUGGGAAACGAAGUGGGAAGGCUAAAACAGUCAGGAGGUUGGCUUAGAAGCAGCCACCCUUUAAAGAAAGCGUAAUAGCUCACUGAUCGAGUCGUCCUGCGCGGAAGAUGUAACGGGGCUAAGCCAGUCACCGAAGCUGCGGACGCACGCAAGUGCGUGGUAGGAGAGCGUUCUGUAAGCCUGUGAAGGUGUCUUGUAAAGGAUGCUGGAGGUAUCAGAAGUGCGAAUGCUGACAUGAGUAGCGAUAAAGGGGGUGAAAGGCCCCCUCGCCGUAAGCCCAAGGUUUCCUACGCAACGUUCAUCGGCGUAGGGUGAGUCGGCCCCUAAGGCGAGGCAGAGAUGCGUAGCUGAUGGGAAGCAGGUUAAUAUUCCUGCACCGUCGUAUGAUGCGAUGGGGGGACGGAUCGCGGAAGGUUGUCCGGGUGUUGGAAGUCCCGGUCCCUGCAUUGGAGAAGGCGCUUAGGCAAAUCCGGGCGCGGAAUUCAAGGAUGUGGGGCGAGCGGCCUAGUGCUGCGAAGCAAUUGGAAGUGGUUCCAAGAAAAGCCUCUAAGCUUCAGUCAUACGAGACCGUACCGCAAACCGACACAGGUGGGCGAGAUGAGUAUUCUAAGGCGCUUGAGAGAACUCGGGAGAAGGAACUCGGCAAAUUGGUACCGUAACUUCGGGAUAAGGUACGCCCUUGUAGCUUGACUGGCCUGCGCCAGGAGGGUGAAGGGGUUGCAAUAAAAUGGUGGCUGCGACUGUUUAAUAAAAACACAGCACUCUGCAAACACGAAAGUGGACGUAUAGGGUGUGACGCCUGCCCGGUGCCGGAAGAUUAAAUGAUGGGGUGCAAGCUCUUGAUUGAAGUCCCGGUAAACGGCGGCCGUAACUAUAACGGUCCUAAGGUAGCGAAAUUCCUUGUCGGGUAAGUUCCGACCUGCACGAAUGGCGUAACGAUGGCCACACUGUCUCCUCCCGAGACUCAGCGAAGUUGAAGUGUUUGUGAUGAUGCAAUCUCCCCGCGGCUAGACGGAAAGACCCCAUGAACCUUUACUGUAGCUUUGCAUUGGACUUUGAACCGAUCUGUGUAGGAUAGGUGGGAGGCUUUGAAGCGUGGACGCUAGUUCACGUGGAGCCGUCCUUGAAAUACCACCCUGGUUUGUUUGAGGUUCUAACCUUGGCCCGUGAAUCCGGGUCGGGGACAGUGCAUGGUAGGCAGUUUGACUGGGGCGGUCUCCUCCCAAAGUGUAACGGAGGAGUUCGAAGGUACGCUUGGUACGGUCGGACAUCGUACCUAAAGUGCAAUGGCAAAAGCGUGCUUAACUGCGAGACCGACAAGUCGAGCAGGUGCGAAAGCAGGACAUAGUGAUCCGGUGGUUCUGAAUGGAAGGGCCAUCGCUCAACGGAUAAAAGGUACUCUGGGGAUAACAGGCUGAUACCGCCCAAGAGUUCAUAUCGACGGCGGUGUUUGGCACCUCGAUGUCGGCUCAUCUCAUCCUGGGGCUGUAGCCGGUCCCAAGGGUAUGGCUGUUCGCCAUUUAAAGAGGUACGUGAGCUGGGUUUAAAACGUCGUGAGACAGUUUGGUCCCUAUCUGCCGUGGGCGUUGGAAUCUUGACGGGGGCUGCUCCUAGUACGAGAGGACCGGAGUGGACGUACCGCUGGUGUACCUGUUGUCUCGCCAGAGGCAUCGCAGGGUAGCUAUGUACGGAAGAGAUAACCGCUGAAAGCAUCUAAGCGGGAAACUCGCCUGAAGAUGAGGAUUCCCUGGAGGCUUGACCUCCUUGAAGGGUCGUUCGAGACCAGGACGUUGAUAGGCUGGGUGUGGAAGCGCAGUAAUGCGUUAAGCUAACCAGUACUAAUUGCCCGUAAGGCUUGAUCC